UGGGAUUAUGGCUCAGUGGUGGAGCGCUCGCCUAGCACAUGUGAGGCCCUGGGUUUGAUCCUCAGAACCACAA
This 73-nucleotide transfer RNA is filed under the name Marmota monax (woodchuck). Its description in RNAcentral is "tRNA.Ala". The record is from RNAcentral. Lineage: Eukaryota; Metazoa; Chordata; Mammalia; Rodentia; Sciuridae.